This 234-nucleotide ribosomal RNA is filed under the name Escherichia coli. RNAcentral's name for it is "partial 16S ribosomal RNA". It matches the Rfam family "Bacterial small subunit ribosomal RNA", at positions 1 to 231 of the family's 1533-position model. Lineage: Bacteria; Pseudomonadati; Pseudomonadota; Gammaproteobacteria; Enterobacterales; Enterobacteriaceae. The record is from RNAcentral.
AAAUUGAAGAGUUUGAUCAUGGCUCAGAUUGAACGCUGGCGGCAGGCCUAACACAUGCAAGUCGAACGGUAACAGGAAGCAGCUUGCUGCUUUGCUGACGAGUGGCGGACGGGUGAGUAAUGUCUGGGAAACUGCCUGGUGGAGGGGGAUAACUACUGGAAACGGUAGCUAAUACCGCAUAACGUCGCAAGACCAAAGAGGGGGACCUUCGGGCCUCUUGCCAUCGGAUGUGCC